RNAcentral lists this non-coding RNA (22 nucleotides) under Arabidopsis thaliana (thale cress). The record is from RNAcentral. Lineage: Eukaryota; Viridiplantae; Streptophyta; Magnoliopsida; Brassicales; Brassicaceae.
GCAGCCACAAUCUAUGUUCUGC